AAUCCAAAACAGCCAACAGUAAA
RNAcentral lists this non-coding RNA (23 nucleotides) under Arabidopsis thaliana (thale cress). The record is from RNAcentral. Lineage: Eukaryota; Viridiplantae; Streptophyta; Magnoliopsida; Brassicales; Brassicaceae.